RNAcentral lists this ribosomal RNA (228 nucleotides) under Discosoma nummiforme. Its description in RNAcentral is "partial 28S ribosomal RNA". It matches the Rfam family "Eukaryotic large subunit ribosomal RNA", at positions 120 to 343 of the family's 3401-position model. Lineage: Eukaryota; Metazoa; Cnidaria; Anthozoa; Corallimorpharia; Discosomidae. The record is from RNAcentral.
UGUUGCUUUGGAGCCACGCGAAUUGUAAUUUUCGAGAAGCGCGUUCUCGGCGGACCGGGCGCGCCUAAGUUGCUUGGAACAGCACGUCGCAGAGGGUGACAACCCCGUGUGUGGCUGAGUCCCGCCGCUCACGAUGUGCUUUCGAAGAGUCGCGUUGGUUGGGAAUGCAGCCCAAAAUGGGUGGUAAACUCCAUCUAAAGCUAAAUACGGGCGCGAGACCGAUAGCGA